Molecule: ribosomal RNA, 651 nt
Filed under: uncultured fungus
Lineage: Eukaryota; Fungi
Description: eukaryotic LSU rRNA
Rfam family: Eukaryotic large subunit ribosomal RNA
Source: RNAcentral
ACCCGCUGAACUUAAGCAUAUCAAUAAGCGGAGGAAAAGAAACCAACAGGGAUUGCCUCAGUAACGGCGAGUGAAGCGGCAAGAGCUCAAAUUUAAAAGCCGACGUAGCUUUAAGAGACGUCCGCAUUGUAAUUUGAAGAGGCAUUCUCGGGUCGGGGCUCAGGCCUAAGUUCCUUGGAAGAGGGCGUCGUGGAGGGUGAGAACCCCGUUCGCGGCCUGCUGUCGACCUUUCCCCGAUCCACACGAGGUGCCAUCGAAGAGUCGAGUUGUUUGGGAAUGCAGCUCAAAGCGGGUGGUAAAUUCCAUCUAAAGCUAAAUAUUGACGGGAGACCGAUAGCGAACAAGUAGAGUGAUCGAAAGAUGAAAAGCACUUUUGGAAAGAGAGUUAAACAGCACGUGAAAUUGUUGAAAGGGAAGCGCUUGAGACCAGUCACGGACCGAGGCGAUCAGUGGGACGUCCCUCUCGGGGGAGGAACCGCGCACUCGCUUUUCGGGUUUUCCGGGUCAACAUCGGUUGGGACGGUGUCAGAAAGGUCGCGGGAACGUGGCUCCCUUCACGGGGAGUGUUAUAGCCCGUGGCGUCAAAGUCGCCAGUUUCGACCGAGGACCGCGCUCGUCUUUUUCGAGCAAGGAUGUUGACGUAAUGGUCCC